CACACACACACACAUGUACACCUACUCUCAUACACAUGUGGGUACACCAACAGAAAAUAUGUAUACACACAUACAUACAGAGAUCUUCCGGAGAUGAAGGGAUUCUCCCUCCAGACUGACUUUGGACUCCAGAGUAGAAUGAGUGACUGACUGAAUUUCCACCUGGCUGGUCAGUCCUCAGUAUUUUACACUCACUGACCUCUAUAUUUCUGUGGACCAGUUCCUUAAAAUGAAUCUCUCUUUGUGGAUCUACAUCAUUCGUAAUGGCAAGUGCCCAUGUGUUCUAUUGAUCGGCUUCCCGGGAGAAUGUUCACUAAUGUCCUAUCUGAUGCCUUCCCGGUAGAUGGUGAAAUUGGUGAUGAAGUGGAGAUGGUGAUGGUGUCCACACGAUGUGCGCACUGCCUGGUGGACGUGUCCGCGUAAUGAUCACACUGUACUGAAUGGAGAGCUUUGUUCCCUAUCCUACAAAUGAGGAAACUGUUGAGUUAUCAAUAUAGGGAAGCUUUUAGUAUGGGACAGAGAAUGGAAACAGGCUUCGAGCCCUAAGCUGGACCAAACUUUCUAGACUUCAUGUGGCCAUCCAUCUUCUUUGCAGCCUUACUAAGAGCUCAUCAUGGCAAAAAUUCCAUAGCUGGUCAUAGUUUUCAGAUAUGAUAUUUUCUCUGGGUAGGAACAAAAGUCCAUUGAUCUAGUAUUAUUUGGGCGCAUGUAAUAGAAUGCUUUGACAGAGGACAAGGACAGGGGUGAGAUCAGCCAUUUGGAUUGUUUACCUCUUUUCUAAGUCUGUCCACAAUGAUUCCAGUAUCUGUCACCUGGGAUCUCAAAAAACAGAAAAACAAAUAUACAGCGUCUGUGUGUGGGGUGGAGACCAAGGUCUGGCUCUUGCCAUUUGGUUUCGUUUGGGGCACAGGGUGGUGCAGAGUAUGGUUGAGACGGUAAGGAAUGACCCAAGACUGGCACCUUCUCUUUGCCUGCAUUGUGUCCUUGGGGAGUGCAAACUGAUGUUCCUGAGAGAUGAGAAAAGACAGGUGAGCUUGCGAGCGGGUGCCCGCCACCUGUCCCUGUGCAGUACUUGAACUAGGUGACAUUUGUCUCACCUGUCACAUUGCACAGGCACAGUUAUGUGAAACCUUGGGAGAAUCAGCUGUCUGUCUUUCUCUCGCAGGGAGAAACUCCAUGCUUUGUCUUGCAUGGAAACUCCAUCCAAGCUUCGGAAAUUGAAAGUACAGUCGGAGCACCUCCUUUACAGGCUCUUAUUUUUCAGAUCCUCUCUCCUUCGCAGGGUGGCAGAGUGGCUGGGGAUUAGAGUGAAGUCAUGGGUAGGUCACCUCUCCUAGGCUGUCCAAAGCCAGUGACAUGCAAGACAAAGCAAUUGCCCACUACCACUCUGAUGGAGUGCCAGGGAUUUCUGCAAUUACCUUAAUCCAUUCCUCCUGGCAUGAACUUUACAGGAAAGCCACUGCCUGUCACUGUCCCCCCGAACCCCUCUCUAAUCUCUGUCCGCACAGCACCCCUGCAGAUGCCAUGUUCCCUGCCUCCCUGAGCCCAGUGUCACCGUGAGGCCAGCUGUGGAGGGCAGAUUGCUAAAUCUGGCCUCCUAGAGGCAGGAAAUUCUACGAUGAAGUAGUGCUGGCUGCUCCAGCCACCCUGUGGGGCUGAGGCCUGGUGUUAGGCAGGCCCAGAAAGUUCUGGAAGGUUGCCGUAUGACUCAGGCAAUCUCUUGCAGAGAAGAUCCUCCCUCCACCACUGGCAGAGCCUGUUGUUGAGAGCUUGCCUUGUUUAGGAUUUAAAUUUGGGCAUGUGCCCAGGAAAAGCCCCUCUCUUCCAACAAAGAGUCGCCAGCUACCAAAGCUAACAUGGUGAAGAGAAGAUAUCUGGUCCUGCCUGUGGUCUGAACACCCAGGGGCCAAUCUGUUUGUAUUCAAAUAUUCGGUUGUUUCUCUUCUUUCCAUGUGGCCUGCACUUGCUUUUGGGAGGCUGCUCAUUUACAUACAAGAGCUGCUGGGAGACUUCAGUCAGUCUCUUGACUCCUGUGGGCCCUCCAGACCACAGCUCUUGGGCCUUAGUUUACUCCUUGUAUAUCAGUUAGUAAUUAACUUUUUUUGUUUCGUUUUGUUUUUCGAGACAAGAUUUCUCCAUGUAUCCCUGGCUGUCCUGGAAACUCACUCUGUAGACCAGGCUGGCCCUGAACUCAGAGAUUCAUCUUCCUCUGCCUCCUGAGUGUUGUGGUCAAAGGCGUGAGCUGCCAUCGCCUGGCUUAGAUGAGGUCUUCAGCUGGAUAAAAAGGGAAAGAGUGAGCUGAGCAGCAGCGAGCAUCUCUCUCUGAUUCAUAACUACUAUGCAGUGUGACCAGCCGCCUCAAGCCCCUGCUGUGUAUCCUCCUCAGCCAUAAUGGACUCUACCCUCCAACUGCUAGCUUCCGACACUGCAGAGACCUGCAACCUGGACUUGUGUGUGCCCUAAGUCCCGGCUACUUAGGCUGUGCACCUCCUUUUCAGCUGAGUCAGAGGCCUCGCCGAAGCUUUUUAAAGAGCUGCCCGGUGGAGACAAGCUUACUCUCAGAGGCACAGCCAAUCCCAUCAGCAGAAACACAGCUCGCCUGCCCCUGCCUCUUUCUCCCAAGAAUCUACAUUGUGCGCCAAGUCCAGUUCCUGGAGCAGAGAGAAGCAGAGGCAAGUUGUGGUGCCUCCUUUAAGUGUCUACUGGGUAACGGGACAAAAAUAGGCAAAGAACCAGCAAGAAAUCGUGGUGUGUUACCUGCUAAAGGGAUGUAUUAUUUAGUAGGUCCAGAAUUCAAGUGUGAGAGGGGACCAAGGAGAAACACUGAGGCCAUAGUACAGAGAGAGGUAGCCUUCCUGGGCCCCAUUGUACAGGUUCAUGCAAUCAGAUGUCUUCUUGAGGGUAACGUGAGGUCCCUGGGGGUGAGACAGGGAGGGAUCUCAGGCCUGCCCUCUACCUGCAGGGCCCAUAGCCAGUCAUCUUCUGUAGUUUCUUCCCUCCAGUACUGAUCAAUCUUUAUUGUCAACUUGGUUUGAUUUAAAGUCACCUAGCAGCUAUACCUCCGGGUAUAUCUGUGCCGAUGUUCCCAGAGAGGAUUAAUUGAGAAGAUUCAUGCUGAGUGUGGACUGUACAGUGUCAUAGGGUUGGAGUCUGAGACUGGACAAAAAGAAGAAAUUGCGACAAGAACCAGCAUCCAUCUCAUGGUUUCCUGACUCUGUACACUUCCCCAGCCUCCAGCCAGCUUUGUCCACAUCCUAUUCCCUGGUAAGAGGCCAUUCCUCAACGACACUGCAGGCCUGGCUACAGCUCCAUCUUCAGGAGACAAGACCCGCACAGGGCCAGAAGGCACAGAGUGUGGUGAUAUAUUGUGUACCCUAAUAAACUUGCCUGAGAAUCAGAGGACAGAGCCAGCCACUAGAUUAGACAUAGAGGUCAGGCAGUGGUGGCAUACACUUUUAAUCCCAGCACUUGAGAUCUCUUGACUUUGCUUGGGAAGCAUACAUGACUUUAAUCCCAGGAAGUAAUAUGGCAGGGCAGACAGAGAAAGGUAUAUAAGGCAUGAGGAAACAGGAACUCACUCUCUUGAAGCUCAGAGUUUCUUAGAGGUAAGAGCUAUUUGCUUGCUGUUCUGCUUCUUUGAUCUUUCAGCUUUCACCCUGAUAUCUGGCUCUGUUUUUCCAUUUUAUUCUAUUUUAUUUUUUUUAUUAAGAGACCAUCUAAGAUUCAAACAACAACAGAGAUCCUGCAUGUCUAGAAUGUCUAGAACCUGGUCUAGAAUUGUCUGGGGGGGAGGGUCAGGUGGGAGGAAGGUUUGUCAGUGGGCUUGGUUGGGAGCAGUCACUUGAUCUAUAACUUACAGCCCUAUGAGCAGAGGUCCAGCUCCAGGGAAGUGGAACUGGAUCCUCUUCAGUGCAGAAACCAGAAAAGAAACUGUGUGGGCUUUAUCAUGACCAGGGACCUGGCACAAAUGACUUACGGGGAGGAAAGACUUCCUUUAUCUCACAGAUUCAGAAGGUGUACCACAGAGGAGGACAGAUCCAAACGGAACAUCUCACACCAUGGUGACCAGAGAGAAAAACUGACUGCCUGGCCAGCUCUUUCACCCUCCCCCUUCUAUUCCAUACAGAACCCUAGCCUGUAGGAUGUUGUGCCCAUGUUCUUCCUUCUUUAGCUAAUCCAUCCAGGAAACACCCUCAGAGACACAUCCAGAUAUAUGCUUUUCCAGUCUCUUAGGCUCUUCUCAAUUCACUCAAGGUGACAAUCAAAAUGAACCAUCAGGGACCUCAAGGCCAGGAUACCCCCUAUCCCCUGAUUAGACUGGGUGGAAGAGAUGGGGUGGGGCCAGUUGCAAAGGCUGCUCACGGGCUGUCAGUGCUGGCCUGGACCUAGGUGAAGGGCAUGAAAUUGAAGGGUGGGAUUUUAAAACAACUAGGAAAUGGACACGUGUGGUCCUCUCAGUUGGUGCUGCAGUCUGCUCUGCCCUCUUCUCAGGCUCAGAGAGCCCUCAAGCAUGGAGGAGGACAGAAGAGGAAGAGCAGGGUUCUAUGUGAGGGUAGACGAGCCAGCUAAGGAAGACAGUGUGGAGGGGAAGUAGAGAGAAGGCACAAUGACAAGAGCAAACAGGAGAAGACCGAGGCCAUGAAGGAACUGUGAUGAACCAGCCUGUGCAUGUUCCACAGGGCGGUUGUGAAGGGAGGAGGGGCCAGCGGUAAAAGGAGCUCCGGCAUGUGGCAGUGAGGUACAAACAUGUUAGGGAGGGGAAGGGUAUUGCAGGAGAUGCUUUCUGAGAGAUGGGGGAUGGGGAGUGGAUCCAUAUACCUUCCCAACCAGGCAGCUCUGAGAUCACUACCUCUCUCCUUUGGGGACAGGUAAGAGAACAGAAAACAUUCAACCUCGAGAACGUGGAGAUUAAGAAAUACCAAUGACCAUACACGUGUACCAAGGAAAAUGGAAUACAUUAAUGUUCAGCACAACAACCACACAUCUAAAUAAAGACACCAAUAUUGCAACUUCAAUGUUAAAGGCCAAGCGUACUGGGAUUUUGUUGUUGUUUUUGAGAAAGAAUGUCACUCUGCAGCUUCAUCAAUCCUCCUGGCUUGGUUUCCUGAGUAUUGGAAUGAAAGAUGGGAGCACACCAUCUUCAAUGAACUCUGCAGCCAAGUUGUUAUCCGGGACUGCAUGAUCUUGGAGGACUCCAGGGUCAGUUACCUCUAGUUGGAACAUUGUCUCAAUGCUCUUUGCUCCAAACAGGGCCCCCUUCCAAGAAGAUAUUAUAUUCUGCCCAUCAUAGCUUGAUUUUUAUGGGCAUUUAAAAUCACACUAGCAAAACACACUGGCUUUGUGGGGAGGUGUGGAAGUGACUCCAGGACACUGGGCUGCCAACAUUCAUUUUCCUCAUGAGCUUGAAUGCCCUAAAAUACUGCCCUUGAGGCUCUUCCUAGACAAGUUGGCCCUGUCAGCCUUGCAAUACCUUGGAAUGAGAAGGUCUCUCCUGAGGAUUGCCAAGUAGUUUGGAAAGAGGCAGGCUCUUCGUUCUGAGGAUGCUGGCUAACCUUUUUCA
This is a long non-coding RNA of Peromyscus californicus insignis, 5560 nucleotides long. RefSeq lists it as uncharacterized. Lineage: Eukaryota; Metazoa; Chordata; Mammalia; Rodentia; Cricetidae. The transcript has 3 exons. The record is from RefSeq and is a predicted model, not a curated record.